GCGAAGAGAAAACGCGUGAUUUUCGCUUAAAUGGGGGAUUCUCGAAGAGAAAACGCAUGAUUUUUGGGUUAAAUGGGGGAUUCUCGAAGAGAAAACGCGUUAUUUUCGGCUUAAAUGGGGGAUUUGCGAAGAGAAAACGCAUGAUUUUCGCUUAAAUGGGGGAUUUGCGAAGAGAAAACGCGUGAUUUUCGCUUAAAUGGGGGAUUUGCGAAGAGAAAACGCGUGAUUUUUGCUUAAAUGGGGGAUUCUCGAAGAGAAAACGCGUGUUUUUCGGGUUCAAUGGGGGAUUCUCGAAGAGAAAACGCGUGAUUUUCGGGUUAAAUGGGGGAUUUGCGAAGAGAAAACGCGUGAUUUUCACUUAAAUGGGGGAUUCUCGAAGAGAAAACGCGUGAUUUUCGCUUAAAUGGGGGAUUUGCGAAGAGAAAACGCGUGAUUUUUGCUUAAAUGGGGGAUUUGUGAAGAGAAAACGCGUGAUUUUCGCUUAAAUGGGGGAUUUGCGAAGAGAAAACGCGUGAUUUUUGCUUAAAUGGGGGAUUUGCGACGAGAAAACGCGUGAUUUUCGGGUUAAAUGGGGGAUUUGCAAAGAGAAAACGCUUGAUUUUCGGGUUAAAUGGGGGAUUUGCGAAGAGAAAACGCGUGAUUUUCGGGUUAAAUGGGGGAUUUGCGAAGAGAAAACGCGUGAUGUUCGCUUAAAUGGGGGAUUUGCGAAGAGAAAACGCGUGAUUUUCGCUUAAAUGGGGGAUUUGCGAAGAGAAAACGCGUGAUUUUUCGCUUAAAUGGGGGAUUUGCGAAGAGAAAACGCGUGAUUUUCGGGUUAAAUGGGGGAUUUGCGAAGAGAAAACGCGUGAUUUUCGCUUAAAUGGGAGAUUUGCAAAGAGAAAAUGCGUGAUUUUCCCUUAAAUGGAAAAUUCUCGAAGAGAAAACGCGUGAUUUUUGCUUAAAUGGGGGAUUUGCGAAGAGAAAAUGCGUGAUUUUUAAGUUAAAGUGGGGAUUCUAAAGAGGAAACGCGUGAUUUUCGGGUUAAAUGGGGGAUUUGCGAAGAGAAAACGCGUGAUUUUCGCUUAAAUGGGGGAUUCUCGAAGAGAAAACGCAUGAUUUUUGGGUUAAAUGGGGGAUUCUCGAAGAGAAAACGCGUUAUUUUCGGCUUAAAUGGGGGAUUUGCGAAGAGAAAACGCAUGAUUUUCGCUUAAAUGGGGGAUUUGCGAAGAGAAAACGCGUGAUUUUCGGUUAAAUGGGGGAUUUGCGAAGAGAAAACGCGUGAUUUUUGCUUAAAUGGGGGAUUUGCGAAGAGAAAACGUGUGUUUUUCGGGUUCAAUGGGGGAUUCUCGAAGAGAAAACGCGUGAUUUUCGGUUAAAUGGGGGAUUUGCGAAGAGAAAACGCGUGAUUUUCACUUAAAUGGGGGAUUCUCGAAGAGAAAACGCGUGAUUUUCGGGUUAAAUGGGGGAUUUGCGAAGAGAAAACGCGUGAUUUUUGCUUAAAUGGGGGAUUUGUGAAGAGAAAACGUGUGAUUUUCGCUUAAAUGGGGGAUUUGCGAAGAGAAAACGCGUGAUUUUCGGGUUAAAUGGGGGAUUUGCGAAGAGAAAACGCUUGAUUUUCAAGUUAAAUGGGGGAUUUACGAAGAGAAAACGCGUGAUUUUCGCUUAAAUGGGGGAUUCUCGAAGAGAAAACACGUGAUUUUUGCUUAAAUGGGGAAUUUGCAAAGAGAAAACGCGUGAUUUUCGGUUAAAUGGGGGAUUCUCGAAGAGAAAAUGCGUGAUUUUUGGCUUAAAUGGGGGAUUUGCGAAGAGAAAACGCGUGGUUUUCGGGUUAAAUGGGGGAUUUGUGAAGAGAAAACGCGUGAUUUUUGGCUUAAAUGGGGGAUUUGCGAAGAGAAAACGCGUGAUUUUCGCUUAAAUGGGGGAUUUGCGAAGAGAAAAACGCGUGAUUUUCGCUUAAAUGGGGGAUUCUCGAAGAGAAAACGCGUGAUUUUCGCUUAAAUGGGGGAUUUGCGAAGAGAAAACAGCGUGAUUUUCGGCUUAAAUGGGGGAUUUGCGAAGAGGAAAACGCUGAUUUUCGGGUUAAAUGGAAGAUUCUCCAAGAGAAAACGCAUGAUUUUCGGGUUAAAUGGCGGAUUUGCGAGGAGGAUAUGCGUGAUUUUCGAGUUAAAUGGGGGAUUUGCGAAGAGAAAACACGUCAUUUUCGAGUUAAAUGGGGGAUUUGCGAAGAGAAAACGCGUCAUUUUCGAGUUAAAUGGGGGAUUUGCAAAGAGAAAAUGCGUCAUUUUCGAGUUAAAUGGGGGAUUUGCGAAGAGAAAACGCGUGAUUUUCGCUUAAAUGGGGGAUUCUUGAAGAGAAAACGAGUGAUUUUCGGGUUAAAUGGAAGAUUUCUGAAGAGAAAGCGUAUGAUAUUCGGGUUAAAUGAGGGAUUCUUGAAGAGAAAAUGAGUGAUUUUCGGGUUAAAUGGGGGAUUCUCGAAGAGAAAACGCGUGAUUUUCGCUUAAAUGGGGGAUUUGCGAAGAGAAAACGCGUGAUUUUCGCUUAAAUGGGGGAUUUGCGAAGAGAAAACGCGUGAUUUUCGCUUAAAUGGGGGAUUUGCGAAGAGAAAACGCGUGAUUUUCGGGUUAAAUGGGGGAUUUGCGAAGAGAAAACGCGUGAUUUUCGGCUUAAAUGGGGGAUUUGCGAAGAGAAAACGCGUGAUUUUCGCUUAAAUGGGGGAUUUGCGAAGAGAAAACGCGUGAUUUUCGGCUUAAAUGGGGGAUUUGCGAAGAGAAAACGCGUGAUUUUCGCUUAAAUGGGGGAUUUGCGAAGAGAAAACGCGUGAUUUUCGGUUAAAUGGGGGAUUUGCGAAGAGAAAAACGCGUGAUUUUCGCUUAAAUGGGGGAUUUGCGAAGAGAAAACGCGUGAUUUUCGGUUAAAUGGGGGAUUUGCGAAGAGAAAACGCGUGAUUUUCGCUUAAAUGGGGGAUUUGCGAAGAGAAAACGCAUGAUUUUUGGUUAAAUGGGGGAUUUCCGAAGAGAAAAUGCGUGAUUUUCGGUUAAAUGGGGGAUUUGCGAAGAGAAAACGCGUGAUUUUCGCUUCAAUGGGGGAUUCUUGAAGAGAAAACGAGUGAUUUUCGAGUUAAAAGCGGGAUUCUCGAAAAGAAAAUGCAUGAUUUUCGCUUAAAUGGGCAAUUUCCAAAGAGAAGACGCGUGAUUUUUGGUUAAAUGGGGAUUCUCGAAGAGAAAACGAGUGAUUUUCGGUUAAAUGGGGGAUUCUCGAAGAGAAAAUGCGUGAUUUUCUGUUAAAUGGGGGAUUUGCGAAGAGAAAACGCGUGAUUUUCGCUUAAAUGGGGGAUUUGCAAAGAGAAAACGCGUCAUUUUCGAGUUAAAUGGGGGAUUUGCGCAGAGGAAUACU
Gallus gallus (chicken) is the source of this 3372-nucleotide long non-coding RNA. NCBI's taxonomy places the organism in Eukaryota, Metazoa, Chordata, Aves, Galliformes, Phasianidae. The record is from Ensembl.